Salvelinus fontinalis (brook trout) is the source of this 2147-nucleotide long non-coding RNA. RefSeq lists it as uncharacterized. The record is from RefSeq and is a predicted model, not a curated record. The transcript has 3 exons. Lineage: Eukaryota; Metazoa; Chordata; Actinopteri; Salmoniformes; Salmonidae.
AACCGAAAGUCGAUGUUCGUAAAAUAAUCUAUGGGCAAUUGAGAACGGAAUGUGAGUUUAAUGCUGGGCAAUUAGCAAAUAGUAGAUUUUUUACCAACAAAAUUUAACCAAAAGCACGUUGAAAAUUUUCUUCGAAAGUCAGUGGUUAGAAUAAUAAAAUAAAAAACGACGGCCAAUCGUACCCAGUCCAAUCCAAAUACUGUAGGCUACUAACUUCAUGCAGCAUGAUUCAUGCAGUGAUAUAUGGUCUCAUGAGAGCCAAAAGCAAUUGAAACACAGUUUGCACGAUAUUAAUACAUUAAUGAAAAAAUAAAUAUAGACGUGAAAAAAAUAUUUUUUGAAGUAUCAACCAUUCGUGGGAAUGAACCAUCAUCAUUUUCGACUUCAGGCACCAUGGACAGAUCCCAGGUAUCGCGUAACAAUACAUUAGGCUUUUCUAAAUUGUUGACGCAAGCAAUCUACUGCAAAUUGUUGACGCAUGGAGUCUACUAUAAAUUGUUGACUCAUGGUUCUGACAGUAGUAGUGAGGAUGAUUGAUUCCCACGAUGAACACUUUGUGGGAAAAUAGCCUAUAGCCUACAAGACAUUGUUAGUGAAUCCGGUUAUAUGCUGUGUUAUAGCCUAUGUUUUAGAAUCCCUCUAAAAGAGACAUCAGAGAUCCAAAUAGACUAUAUGUAUAUUGCAGUCUACUUAUUUUGUUUCAGGAAUCACAUUAUGUGGGCUAACUAUAGGAGACAUUACAUUAACCAAAUUCAGCCUAGUUCCAAGUCAAAAUUAGUUUUAAAUAGGCCUACUUCACACACAGCAACUGCUACACCUCAUAAUGGUUGGCUGUGCUGUUGUACAUGUGAAAAUCUGAUUGGGAUUUCAAACCAAUAUUAGACGGAUGUUGUUGGUAUUAAGGCUUAGAAGUGACAAUGGACAGCAAGCUCGUGCUUUACGGUACGCGGUCACUGGUCCCAACCUUGAGCUCCUGUGGGAAGAUGGAAUGGGAGGGGUGGCCUGAAGGCUGGCUUUAAGAACAACACCCACAAAAGGACAAAGUCAUCAGGACUGUACUACACAUGGAUUGCAUUAGCUGCCAGUGUUCAGCAGAAGAACACGGAAAAAGCAGAGGAAGUUAGCUGAGGCCUGACUAACGGAUGGUCUGACACUGUGAGGAUCACCACUAAUGUGUUCUUUUCAGAGAUGUACCACAGAGUUCACCGAGCCACAUUCAGAGAGUCUCUGAGAUGUGGAGAAAAUGUUAAGAAUCAAAGGGUCACGGAAAUGAAAAGGAAAGGAACAGUGAACAGGAUGACAUUGAUGAAGUCCAGGGCUUUCUCGUCGGGAAAUUGACAAAAUCACACCCAGAUUUGGAGGAGCAGCUAGGGGCUCUCCGCAAGCACCAACGACAUGGCCCUUCUCAAAGUGCGGGACCUUCAAAGUACUGGAACAACCAUUAUUUAUGCUGCAAGUUUUUCCUGACCACAUGACCUGACUAGGAAAAACUCAGGGCCCUAGUUAAAACUAGACAGUAAAACCCAUGGCCCUACCCAUUAGCAAAGGGCUACCCACUGAAUCCGUGACUGUAAGGAUCGCUGUGGUAACAGUUUGAUUAAUGGGAAUGAAAUGGAAAUCAUAGCACUAUACUUACUAUAGAGUUUACUAAAGCAAUCAAUCAUGUUAUUAUGGACAAUAUUAUUCUGUACAAUAGAGAGAUUGCCAAGCACACGAUAAAUGGACAGGGCUUGGCCACAUGUUGCUCCAACCACCCCAUGUGUUAUGGCUUUGAUUGUAUAAAUGGAAAGGAAAAGGGAGCUCUCAAUAAACCUUAAUCCCAAUCAGUUCAACACAGCAUGGUAUGAUUCUAUUUGAACAUUUUUGACAUUGAGCCAAUGAUAUAUGUACAGACUUUGCAGGACACAGAGUUGCACAGAGUACUUCUGAAUAAAACAAAUAAUAUAUGAUUUAUUGUAUAUAAUUAUAUUAUAUAAUAUUUUAUUAAAUCUGUACGAUUAUUUGUGUUUAUGCAUGUAACAUUUUCAACAAGCACUAUAGGCAUGCCAAGGUGAUGUACAUUCCCAAGAAAAAUAAUCAACUGGCUCAAUUUAAAAUAAUUUUUACUUUUGAUGAAAAUGCUAAAUGUUUCAUUCUGUAGAUCUAAG